CACAUUAUCACAAACAGUUUCAUUCAAAGAGCUUUUUAGUAGCCUACUGCUUUUCAUGCUUUCCAAUGUAUGCCACUUUCAUGAUUCUCAUGAACAUAUGUGAGAUUGUUGGUAUCUCUUCGAGGAGCUUGGUUUCAGAGCCCGGCUAUGAGUAAUCUACCCACACUGUUUCGGUCCUACAGGUGAUGAGGGCAUUGCUUGCAGAGAUGUGCCUGGAGAUUGUGCGGUUUGUAUCUGAGGCCAUCCUGGAGGUCAUCAUCCCUGCAAUUUUCCGUUUUGUACGGAUAUACAGCCAUGUGUCUCCAGUAUCCGGCAAGUCUCUGACAGAAUCAGAGAGAUCCUCUAGCACAAACCUGAAGGUUCGCAAGAGAGGCAGCAGCAAAUCCUCAAGGUCUUGCACGGCCAAAUCAAGCUCCUCACGUAAUGGGUAUGUUCAGUCAUUCCUAAAGAAACCGGUUUCACCUAACUAUUCAUAACCCAUUUUGUGAAAAUAUGUUUUGUUAUCUGUAUAACAGUUUACUCUUAAUGACCAGUUUAACUGAUUACUGAAUGAUGUAUUAAUGUCACUACCGUGUCUACUAUUGAAUAUGGAAUGCUGUAUUGUUUGCUUUGUAUUCUCAAAGGUCUCAGACAGUGUUGCCAAAUACUCAGGGAGAUGGUGAGUCUAUAUCAUCUGAGCCACUCAGGGACUUUUUUGGGAUUACUGAGGACAGUCUCCUCACUGGUGUCCAGGAUUCCUUCAAAGAGUCGCUGAACAAUGUCCUCUGUAUCCAAAGAGAGGACCAGGUAGACACUCAAAGUCUAUCCCGGGUUAUUGUUGGAGAAGUGUCAAAGAAGGUCAAUUCCAUAAUCUCUGUGGCCAUCCAAACUCCCAUCUCUGGCCGAAUGUCCCCUGUUAUUUUUGCCAGUGGUGGUGUCUCCAGAACCAAGGUUGUUGAGGAGAUGGUGUCUGGCGUUUCCAACAUACUUCAGAUGUAUAUUAAUGGGAAGAGUGUUGAGCAGAUUGUUGUUCUCAGAGAGGAUGGUGUUGAGGUGGACAUGACACAUUUAACAGGACAGGUCAUGACAGCCCUCAGUGGCACUGUUUUGAACUUCAGCAAUAAGGAAGAAUAUGACCCCGACAAGAGGGAACUGCUUUGUGUUGUUGCUGACCAUAUGAAGAUGCUUGAAGCUUGUAAAAGUCCUGAGGAGAUGCUAAAACAAGGAGAGAGCAACCUCAAUAUCAAAGGUGCCAAAUCUAGUCUUCGUCUGUCAACACAAAGUAUGGAUAGACUACUCACUGAGGAGUUUCAGACCAAGGCCACUGAAUCGAUCCGGGAGAUUGUUAAAAGAUUCAGGGGUUGUACAUUAUGUUGUUCUGGCACUAUAUCAUCUAGUCCAACUCCUCAGAUAGGUGAGAUCAGAGACCUUAUGAUUGACCCUGAGGCCUCUGAGUUGGUAAGUACCUUUGUUUCAGACAUGGACAAUCUUACCCAGUCUAUCAGGGCAUCCUGCUCUCCUGCACAGAGUGAGCAGAUCCUUCUUGAAAACCAUCAGAGUAAGAUCUGGUCUUACACUGUUGGCUGUUACUACGACAUGAAAAAUACGCUGAAGAGGAUUCUUACCUGUCCAGAAAAAGGUUAUCUCGCAAGUACAUUUGUGGAGAGCACAAAAGAUUAUUUCACAAUGGUUCCAACUUUGUGCCUAGACAUCGGUCAUUCCAGUAAUGGUGAGGCUGACACAUCGGACUCCAUUUCUUGUAAACCACUUUUAAUAACCCCCUCAUCUAUGAAUGAACAAAAAGGACAAAGUGAGACCCCAAAACCUCUCUUGGCUCUCAAAAAGUAUUUGCAAGACCAAGUCCUCCUUGACACCACAAAAGCGAUUGCCAGCCAGGUUCUUGUCUUGUAUAAGACUGAGGUGAUGGAGAAGUUCUCAUCUUCUGUUGGAGAGUGUGAUUCUGAAGAGUCUCUGGAGGCCAUUCUAUUCGUGGAUGGCAUCAUGUCUGACUUGAAUGAUUUCACCAGUUCGUGUUCCCCCUCACCAUCUGAGUUGUUAGACAGUGAACAAUGUCUCUCCCAUCUCACUUUUCCACUUGGUCUACAGGACAGCACCACCAACAGUGAAUCUACCCUGAGUCUUCCAGUUAUAAAUAUGAAGAAACUCUCCAGUGUGUCUUUCCAGACAAAGGCUAGAAAGGCAGUGAGCGAAGCUCUGAGAUCUGUCAACCCCUUUACAAACAGCUUACUGGGAGACUCUGAAGCAUCUACAUUGCUGGACACUUUUGUAACAGAUGUGGAGACUAUUGUUCAGUCCAUGCAGGCACAUGACUCUGAAAAUGUCAGAAUUUCAAAAGUGAGCACCCUUCAUGCUGCUCGUAUUAUAUAUCAUAGAUUUCGAGAAAUGCUGAGGCGUUUUCUCACUCCCUGCCAAGACUCUGUAAAGGUCAUCGAUGGUGUUACACCAAUACAUGAUGAGACUCUCAAACAGGCUCCUAGUGAAAGUUUAGAUUCUCAGGUGACUUGUAAUAGGGAUUCUCUUGAAAUCCAAGCGGACCUUCAAACCUGUACCAAGGAGGUCAUUAGUCAGAUCCUCACUGUGUAUCACUCUGAGGAAUCCAUGGAGGAAUGCCUCUCUAGCCUAAAAGGAGAUACAGAAGACCUGUCCAAGCUUUUGGAUGCCGUUGUUUCUCAGAUUGACGUCCUUGCCGCCUCCAAAUCAUAUUUAUCUGUUGAUGACUAUGCUGUCAAUACACAGGACAAUUUGCAUGGUGAGAUCAACAAUGAUGAGGAGGAGGCAUCCUCUAGAAGUCUUAAAUCCACAGCCUUUGACAAACUAUGUACUGAUGAGUUUCAAACGAAAGCCUCACAUAUGGCUGGUGGGAUCCUUCAAUCAGGGUUAAUUGGCAUUGUAAAUACCAGCCUUGAUGGUAGAAGUGCAGACAUUUGUGCAGAGUCCAGUAACGAUGGUGAUGAUAGAGAUAACAAAAUCCUUCAGAAGAGUGGAACUCCACCUUUGUUCACCUCUUCUCUGCACACCAAUUCUGCAGCAUCCAACAUCGUCAUAAGCAUCACUAAAGACCUUAAUAGCUUCACCCAGAUCACUAAAAUGUCUGAUGCUUCAGUGUCUGGCCAGUUAGAGAGAUCCCUGUCAGCUUCAACCCUUCCUGUCAGUGUUCAGAACGGGGCCAAUGUGAAAGGAAAAAUCCUUGACCUUGAUGAACACAUUGUUGAACAGGUUUACAGUGCCUGGCCAAAUGAUCUUUCCUUUCACAUUGGCCCUGUUCUGAACACUGACAGGAAGGUUUGAAGCUGACAGGGAUCUCUCUAACUGGCCAGACACUGAAGCAUCAGACAUUUUAGUGAUCUGGGUGAAGCUAUUAAGGUCUUUAGUGAUGCUUAUGACGAUGUUGGAUGCUGCAGAAUUGGUGUGCAGAGAAGAGGUGAACAAAGGUGGAGUUCCACUCUUCUGAAGGAUUUUGACAUCUCUAUCAUCACCAUCGUUACUGGACUCUGCACAAAUGUCUGCACUUCUACCAUCAAGGCUGGUAUUUACAAUGCCAAUUAACCCUGAUUGAAGGAUCCCACCAGCCAUAUGUGAGGCUUUCGUUUGAAACUCAUCAGUACAUAGUUUGUCAAAGGCUGUGGAUUUAAGACUUCUAGAGUAUGCCUCCUCCUCAUCAUUGUUGAUCUCACCAUGCAAAUUGUCCUGUGUAUUGACAGCAUAGUCAUCAACAGAUAAAUAUGAUUUGGAGGCGGCAAGGACGUCAAUCUGAGAAACAACGGCAUCCAAAAGCUUGGACAGGUCUUCUGUAUCUCCUUUUAGGCUAGAGAGGCAUUCCUCCAUGGAUUCCUCAGAUUGAUACACAGUGAGGAUCUGACUAAUGACCUCCUUGGUACAGGUUUGAAGGUCCGCUUGGAUUUCAAGAGAAUCCCUAUUACAAGUCACCUGAGAAUCUAAACUUUCACUAGGAGCCUGUUUGAGAGUCUCAUCAUGUAUUGGUGUAACACCAUCGAUGACCUUUACAGAGUCUUGGCAGGGAGUGAGAAAAUGCCUCAGCAUUUCUCGAAAUCUAUGAUAUAUAAUACGAGCAGCAUGAAGGGUGCUCACGUUUGAAAUUCUGACAUUUUCAGAGUGAUGUGCCUGCAUGGACUGAACAAUAGUCUCCACAUCUGUUACAAAAGUGUCCAGCAAUUUAGAUGCUUCAGAGUCUCCCAGUAAGCUGUUUGUAAAGGGGUUGACAGAUCUCAGAGCUUCGCUCACUGCCUUUCUAGCCUUUGUCUGGAAAGACACACUGGAGAGUUUCUUCAUAUUUAUAACUGGAAGACUCUGGGUAGAUUCACUGUUGGUGGUGCUGUCCUGCAGACCAAGUGGAAAAGUGAGAUGGGAGAGACAUUGUUCACUGUCUAACAACUCAGAUGGUGAGGGGGAACACGAACUGGUGAAAUCAUUCAAGUCAGACAUGAUGCCAUCCACAAAUAGAAUGGCCUCCAGAGACUCUUCAGAAUCACACUCUCCAACAGAAGAUGAGAACUUCUCCAUCACCUCAGUCUUAUACAAGACAAGAACCUGGCUGGCAAUCGCUUUUGUGGUGUCAAGGAGGACUUGGUCUUGCAAAUACUUUUUGAGAGCCAAGAGAGGUUUUGGGGUCUCACUUUGUCCUUUUGUUCAUUCAUAGAUGAGGGGGUUAUUAAAAGUGGUUUACAAGAAAUGGAGUCCGAUGUGUCAGCCUCACCAUUACUCGAAUGACCGAUGUCUAGGCACAAAGUUGGAACCAUUGUGAAAUAAUCUUUUGUGCUCCCCACAAAUGUACUUGCGAGAUACCCUUUUUCUGGACAGGUAAGAAUCCGCUUCAGCGUAUUUUUCAUGUCGUAGUAACAACCAACAGUGUAAGACCAGAUCUUACUCUGAUGGUUUUCAAGAAGGAUCUGCUCACUCUGUGCAGGAGAGCAGGAUGCCCUGAUAGACUGGGUAAGAUUGUCCAUGUCUGAAACAAAGGUACUUACCAACUCAGAGGCCUCAGGGUCAAUCAUAAGGUCUCUGAUCUCACCUAUCCGAGGAGUUGGACUAGAUGAUAUAGUGCCAGAACAACAUGAUGUACAACCCCUGAAUCUUUUAACAAUCUCCCGGAUCGAUUCAGUGGCCUUGGUCUGAAACUCCUCAGUGAGUAGUCUAUCCAUACUUUGUGUUGACAGACGAAGACUAGAUUUGGCACCUUUGAUAUUGAGGUUGCUCUCUCCUUGUUUUAGCAUCUCCUCAGGACUUUUACAAGCUUCAAGCAUCUUCAUAUGGUCAGCAACAACACAAAGCAGUUCCCUCUUGUCGGGGUCAUUUUCUUCCUUAUUGCUGAAGUUCAAAACAGUGCCACUGAGGGCUGUCAUGACCUGUCCUGUUAAAUGUGUCAUAUCCACCUCAACACCAUCCUCUCUGAGAACAACAAUCUGCUCAACACUCUUCCCAUUAAUAUACAUCUGAAGUAUGUUGGAAACGCCAGACACCAUCUCCUCAACAACCUUGGUUCUGGAGACACCACCACUGGCAAAAAUAACAGGGGACAUUCGGCCAGAGAUGGGAGUUUGGAUGGCCACAGAGAUUAUGGAAUUGACCUUCUUUGACACUUCUCCAACAAUAACCCGGGAUAGACUUUGAGUGUCUACCUGGUCCUCUCUUUGGAUACAGAGGACAUUGUUCAGCGACUCUUUGAAGGAAUCCUGGACACCAGUGAGGAGACUGUCCUCAGUAACCCCAAAAAAGUCCCUGAGUGGCUCAGAUGAUAUAGACUCACCAUCUCCCUGAGUAUUUGGCAACACUGUCUGAGACCUUUGAGAAUACAAAGCAAACAAUACAGCAGUCCAUAUUCAAUAGUAGACACGGUAGUGACAUUAAUACAUCAUUCAGUAAUCAGUUAAACUGGUCAUUAAGAGUAAACUGUUAUACAGAUAACAAAACAUAUUUUCACAAAAUGGGUUAUGAAUAGUUAGGUGAAACCGGUUUCUUUAGGAAUGACUGAACAUACCCAUUACGAGAGGAGCUUGAUUUGGCAGUGCAAGAUCUUGAGGAUUUGCUGCUGCCUCUCUUGCGAACCUUCAGGUUUGUGCUAGAGGAUCUCUCUGAUUCUGUCAGAGACUUGCUGGAUACUGG
Molecule: long non-coding RNA, 6120 nt
Filed under: Oncorhynchus kisutch (coho salmon)
Lineage: Eukaryota; Metazoa; Chordata; Actinopteri; Salmoniformes; Salmonidae
Description: lncRNA (ENSOKIG00005035712.1)
Source: RNAcentral